AGGUGCUUAGCUCAGUGGUAGAGCAUCUCGUUUACACCGAGAGGGUCAAUGGUUCAAGUCCAUUAGCAUCUA
This 72-nucleotide transfer RNA is filed under the name Rickettsiales bacterium (ex Bugula neritina AB1). RNAcentral's name for it is "tRNA-Val". It matches the Rfam family "tRNA". From Rfam's summary of the family: Transfer RNA (tRNA) molecules are approximately 80 nucleotides in length. The record is from RNAcentral. Lineage: Bacteria; Pseudomonadati; Pseudomonadota; Alphaproteobacteria; Rickettsiales.